RNAcentral lists this long non-coding RNA (1642 nucleotides) under Amphibalanus amphitrite. Its description in RNAcentral is "uncharacterized LOC122375617". Lineage: Eukaryota; Metazoa; Arthropoda; Thecostraca; Balanomorpha; Balanidae. The record is from RNAcentral.
UGGGGUGGAAUAGGGGAGGGGUGGGAUGGGAUUGUCAUGUAAUUAUUGUGUGAUGUGUGUCUACAUUGUAACAUAUACUCGCAUCUGCUGUCCGUCACCGCCUGACUCGGCGUGACCGACAUGCCUGUCACCGAUAGUGGCCGCUAGGGACCCCUCAGGUCCCAGUCGGACCCUUCAGGUCCCAGUCGGACCCCUCAGGUCCCAGUCGGACCCCUCAGGUCCCCGUCGGACCCCUCAGGUCCCAGUCGGAUCCACCGUCCACCGCCUUACCGACCGUUUCUCUCUUCCCGGUCAGCGUUAUGAGGUGACGGCUCGGACCGACCCCAUGUGUGUGCUAUAGUGUAUGUGGGAGUGUGGGGUGGGGUGGGAAGGGACGGGUGGAGUGGGGAUAAUGUGUACGCCAGUACUGGUCCAUAUAGACAGACCAUAGGCACGUUGUUGUUUGCCCGUGCCGAGCUUGGCCCGCCGGCCCGCUAUUGUAUGUUCGUACCGAUGUCUUUAUGGAGCUCUGUAUUGGCGACUACCGCCAAUCUGUCAUUAUAUUGUUCGAACUCAAUAUGUACGUACCAUGUAGUGUAAGUGGCGCAUACCGUCUCCGAUCCAUUGACUAGGAGCGCCAGCUGUAUGUUUGUGUGUGGAGCCCUAUUCGUGGCCUCCUGCCGUCCGUGGACCCUGCUGCCACCGACAAACGUAGUAGAUAUGUGUUCGUCCAGACCGGAUGCCCUUUGUGGCCGACUAUUGCUGAUGGCUGUGUUCUGUUCGUAGCCUGAUGCCGAUCGAGGCUGCCCUGUCGUCCGUGGCCCCGCUGCCACCGACCAGUCAUUGACGCUCAGUGACCUUACGCUGACUAACCUGUUUGGUCUGAUGACGCCCAGCGUCCCUGUACGAUUCGCUGAUGUGUGUCGCACCGAUGUGCUGCCCGUCUCGGUCGGCCCGCACCCAGGGCUCGUCUGGCCCCCCUCUACCCCCCCCCCUUCCCCGGCACCCUCUGUCCCCUGUAGCCCCGGGGUCGUGGCCGGCCGCUGUCGGUCGACCCUCCCCGAUGCCGCACGGGGUCACGGUGCCCUCCCUGCCCCGAGGCGGUGGUGUGGGGUCGGCGCCCUCCGGUGGGUCUCGGCCGGUGUGGGCCGGGAGGGCCCCGGACUCCCUCUCCCUGGCUUGGUGCCUGGUGGCUGGUGACGGGCGGCCAUGGUGAUGGCGUGGUGCGGCUCACCACACGAUGGUGAGGCACGGAUGCAGGCCUGGUGCCGCUUAGUGCUUAGAUGGUAGCGUCACACGGGGAGCGCUGCUCUGGUGAUGGUGUGGGCCGCUACGGCGGCGGGCAGGUGGGCCCCAGUGGCCGCCCCGACCGACGCGUCGGACCGCCAGCCGGUGCCGGGGCGCACAGCUGGCGGUGCCCUGCUUUGGUGAUGGUGAUGGUGGUGCAGAUCCCCAGCAACCCCCUCCCCUCCCUCCCUGGCCCGCCGCGCCGGCCCGCCGUGGUGCCUCCCCCACUGCCGCCUCCCUCCUCCCCCUCCCCGAUCCUCCCGCCAGCCUUGCCCGGGGUGUGUGGCCGACCGCCAUGGUGACCCUCCGGGGUCUGUAACUAUUGGCUUAUUUAUCUCUGUGCAUGGUUUGUAAAACGGACCGGCAUGACUGUUGC